AUUGAACGCUGGCGGCAUGCCUAACACAUGCAAGUCGAACGAGUGGCGGACGGGUGAGUAAUUUCUUGGAAACUGCCCGAUGGAGGGUGAUAACUCCUGGAAACGGUAGCUAAUACCGCAUACCCUCGUUUGUUCCCAGAUGGGUUUAGCGAGUAGGUUGGGUAACGGCUAACCAAGGCCACGAUCCCUAGCUGGUCUGAGAGGAUGACCAGCCACACUGGAACUGAGACACGGUCCAGACUCCUACGGGAGGCAGCAGUGGGGAAUAUUGCACAAUGGGCGCAAGCCUGAUGCAGCCAUGCCGCGUGUAUGAAGAAGGCCUUCGGGUUGUAAAGUACUUUCAGCAGGGAGGCGUUACUCGCAGAAGAAGCAACGGCUAACUCCGUGCCAGCCGCCGCGGUAAUUC
Molecule: ribosomal RNA, 406 nt
Filed under: uncultured bacterium
Lineage: Bacteria
Description: partial 16S ribosomal RNA
Rfam family: Bacterial small subunit ribosomal RNA
Source: RNAcentral